GGAUCAUCAGCACACCUGGACCAGCUCAGAACAAUGGUCCCCACCAAUGUCUCAGUCACCGGAGAAGACCCUCCUCUCACCAAGAUGCCCCCUGAGCCCACCAGCCCCCAGGUACAUAGCUGUGUAUUCUUAGUUGUGGGUCCUUCUAGUUGUGGCACGUGGGACGCUGCCUCAGCAUGGCUUGACGAGCGGCACCAUGUCUGUGCCCAGGAGCGAAACCGACAAAACCCUGGGCCGCCUGCAGCAAAGUGUGCGAACUUAACCACUCAGCCACGGGGCCGGCCCUGGUGUCAAGAAUGAGGCACUAUCGCUCAAGUUUUUGGUUUCUCCUACCUGAGAUGGCUCUCCUGGCUGGGCUUGGGAGUCCACACCCUCUAUCAGAAAUGGACAGAUUCAGCAGGCAGAAAAUCAGCAAAGUGCCAGGCACGUAAUGUGCCAGGGAAAGAGGGCAAAUGUUAAAAUAAAGAUGGUUCUUGUCCUCAAGGAAAUCAAAGACGUGUGGGAAGUGAAGAUACAUAAGAAAAAUGUGAAAAAAAGUGUUCAAAUAAACUGAAGUUCAGAGAAUAUUCUUUUCUGUUGUAACAAAUAUUUAUCAGGACUAAAAUAGUAUGGUUCUCCUGGCUCCUAGCUGAGGGCUGCUCUGUAAUGUUCCAUGGAGUGCAACUGGGUCUCAGCGCUCCCCUGAUCAGCACUGAUCCUCUGUAUUCGAGUGU
Molecule: long non-coding RNA, 713 nt
Filed under: Equus asinus (donkey)
Lineage: Eukaryota; Metazoa; Chordata; Mammalia; Perissodactyla; Equidae
Description: lncRNA (ENSEASG00005023596.1)
Source: RNAcentral